Molecule: ribosomal RNA, 301 nt
Filed under: uncultured bacterium
Lineage: Bacteria
Description: partial 16S ribosomal RNA
Rfam family: Bacterial small subunit ribosomal RNA
Source: RNAcentral
CAGCAGCCACGGUAAUACGUAGGUGGCAAGCGUUGUCCGGAAUUAUUGGGCGUAAAGGGCUCGCAGGCGGUUUCUUAAGUCUGAUGUGAAAGCCCCCGGCUCAACCGGGGAGGGUCAUUGGAAACUGGGAAACUUGAGUGCAGAAGAGGAGAGUGGAAUUCCACGUGUAGCGGUGAAACGCGUAGAGAUGUGGAGGAACACCAGUGGCGAAGGCGACUCUCUGGUCUGUAACUGACGCUGAGGAGCGAAAGCGUGGGGAGCGAACAGGAUUAGAUACCCGCGUAGUCCCUGUCUCUUAUAA